RNAcentral lists this long non-coding RNA (503 nucleotides) under Callithrix jacchus (white-tufted-ear marmoset). RNAcentral's name for it is "lncRNA (ENSCJAG00000077118.1)". The record is from RNAcentral. Lineage: Eukaryota; Metazoa; Chordata; Mammalia; Primates; Cebidae.
GGGCUCCAAACUGUGCAGCAUGUAUUGAAUACAGUAGAAAACUGUAACACAAUGAUGAAGAUCUGCCCCGACUCGUCGGUGCUCCAGCCAUAUUUGCUCAUCCACACCUUUAGUUGGCUGUCCCACAGACCCCCGAGCAUCUUGGCCAGCAGCCAGUGGUCGAUGUGCUGGUCUGUACCUCCCACAAUGUGCAGCAUGAUACAAAUAUGGGGAAUACGUCAACAUACAUCUUGAUUUGUUGAUUGCCCUGUAAAGUUACUGCAGCAAUAGGUAAAUACAGUCUUUGGAACCUGCUAAUCAGUUAAAAAAACUGAAAUAAGAAACAGAGCUAAUUAAGAUGUUAUCUUAAUAAUAGGAAUUCAGUGGAUGUGUCAUGGGCUUGAGCCAGAGUAGACAGUACCUCAAAGUUUUCAAAGAUGAAUCAGGGCAAGCCAGAGGAUCCCUGAAAGGCUAGAGGUAGAAAUGGGGAAGUUUAGGAAUGUACAGUGGAAGAUCUAGGGAGA